Long non-coding RNA from Oncorhynchus gorbuscha (pink salmon), 362 nucleotides. RefSeq lists it as uncharacterized. The transcript has 3 exons. NCBI's taxonomy places the organism in Eukaryota, Metazoa, Chordata, Actinopteri, Salmoniformes, Salmonidae. The record is from RefSeq and is a predicted model, not a curated record.
UCUGUCAUAAUACACUGUGGGAACUCUGUCAUAAUACACUGUGGGAAUUCUUGUCAUAAUACACUGUGGGAACUUGUCAAAAUACAAUGUGGGAACUCUGUCAUAAUACACUGUGGGAACUCUGUCAUAAUACACUGUGGGAACUCUGUCAUAAUACACUGUGGGAACUCUGUCAUAAUACACUGUGGGAACUUGUCAAAAUACACUGUGGGAACUCUGUCAUAAUACACUGUGGGAACUCUGUCAUAAUACACUGUGGGAACUCUGUCAUAAUACACUGUGGGAACUCUUGUCAUAAUACACUGUGGGAACUCAGUCAUAAUACACUGUGGGAACUCAGUCAUAAUACACUGUGGGAACUC